CCUACGGGAGGCAGCAGUGGGGAAUCUUGCGCAAUGGGCGAAAGCCUGACGCAGCAACGCCGCGUGGGUGAUGAAGGUCUUCGGAUUGUAAAACCCUGUCGUUAGGGACGAAGACAUGAAUCCUAAUACGAUUCAUGUUUGACGGUACCUAGAAAGGAAGCCCCGGCUAACUCUGUGCCAGCAGCCGCGGUAAUACAGAGGGGGCAAGCGUUAUUCGGAAUUAUUGGGCGUAAAGGGUGCGUAGGCGGUUUUCUAAGUCAGAUGUGUAAUCCACGAGCUCAACUUGGGAACUGCAUCUGAAACUGGGAGACUAGAGUACUGGAGAGGAUGGUGGAAUUCCACGUGUAGCGGUAAAAUGCGUAGAGAUGUGGAGGAACACCAGUGGCGAAGGCGGCCAUCUGGACAGUAACUGACGCUGAAGCACGAAAGUGUGGGUAGCAAACAGGAUUAGAUACCCUGGUAGUCCACACCGUAAACGAUGAACACUUGGUGUAGUGGGAGUUGACCCCCACUGUGCCGUAGCUAACGCGAUAAGUGUUCCGCCUGGGGAGUACGGUCGCAAGGCUGAAACUCAAAUGAAUUGACGG
This 587-nucleotide ribosomal RNA is filed under the name uncultured bacterium. RNAcentral's name for it is "bacterial SSU rRNA". It matches the Rfam family "Bacterial small subunit ribosomal RNA", at positions 338 to 916 of the family's 1533-position model. The record is from RNAcentral.